CAAGGGUUAAAGUUAAGAAUAGCUAUUGUAUUUUUAAUUUAUUCCGUGCUACUCCAUGGACCAAACCAAGUCAUUAAUUCCAGUCACAAAAUUCCCACACCAUAUGUUACAAUCUGUGAAGAUUUUGCAGGAAAUUUCACUACUUGUGUUAUGUAAAUGUGCAUCAGCCUCCAAUGCUAGCUAGCCAAUGUCCCUUAUACAAAUUAAUCUUUAAUCAAAAGAUGAGGGAAGGUUUCUACAAGACUAACUAAUGUAAAAAAAAAAUUUUAAUGCAUAAAAUAUAAAACUUGUUUUGGCAUCAGCCUCACGUCCAAAUCUCAGAACGAGCAACGAAAAAGAGAGAAGAUUUUGUUAAGCUUCAGUAUAAAUGCCUCAUGCUUGCAGAAAGAGAUCGCUUCUACAAAUUCUGAAAAUGUAAGUUCCAUCUUCACCAAGUUGUUAUCCCUGAGACAUAGUGGGUCAACCUAUAAUCAUACCAACAAAUAGUGAUGUCUGUUAUGUUGGCAAAUAUGGAUUAUCUUCUUUGGUUUUCAUACUUCCGAUCCUCUCCAUCUGGGCAACCAGUAGUUCGUGCACUUUAACUUUUAGCUCAUUGAGUCCUUCUCCACUCGUUGCAGACACAUGGAUUGCUCCAUUGGGUCCCAUUUUAUGGUACCUUGCCAUUUCCAAAUUACUACCAUUGCUAUCUUCUGCAAUGAAGACCACAGGAGAUUCUUGCAAGAGAUCACAUUUAGAGACAACAUCAAGCCAAAGAUGAUCAUUGAAUCUCUCUUUAAUUUCUUUGUAUAUCUCAAACUGAUCAGAAGCUGAGGUCCCACAUUCUCCAGUGAGAUCAUGAACAUAAAGUAUUGCUGUUGGCAAGUGUGUGAGGACAGCAAGCGUUAAUUUUUCCAAAUUGUUCCUGUCCUCAUCACAUCUCUUUAGAAGUCCUGGGGUGUCUGUCACCUGCAGUUAGUUUGAGUACAUAUAAACAAACUAAUUGGGGAAAAAGCAGAUUGCCAACAGCUAACCAUAUCUUAAACAAAUUAAGAUGAAAAAGACAAAGAAACUAGAGAGAGAUUAACCUGAAAAUGCUGGAAGUCAAAAGCAAUAUGGCCCAUUAGAAUUCCCCUAGUUGUGAAAGGGUAAUUACAAACCUGACUCCAAGACCAAAUAAAGCAGAGGAAAAUGUCACUAUUAACAACAAGAACAGCAUAACUCAAUUCUAUGUAAAUUUCAUUCAACAUCACAUUCAAGUAGAUGUGCGUCAUACUUUAUCUUCAACAGUCUAGCUGAAAAUAUGAAAAUCCAAAAAACAAAAACAAUCCACAAAAUCAGAAUUUAAGUUUCAAAACCUCUUUAUUAACAAAACACAGAUCUCUCCAAGGUUCUUUAGUUUCUUGUGUGUUUAACCAUAAACAUUGAGUUGUCAUAAUUGGAGAGUUUGGAUGUGUUGAUGUUUGCCGGAGGCCUGGAGAUGAAUAGCGUUCAAAAUAUCCAUUUAAGAUAGAGCCCAACCAACUUGGGUUUUUGAUAUCCUUUCAAAUGAUCAAUGUUUCUUUAAGGAUCAAUAUCAAAACCACAAAGAAAAAAUCAUAAUCACUGGACAUCUGCACAAACCUCAGGCUUCCCUGUUGAAAGUAUCCGAACCAAGGACGACUUUCCUACAUUAGGAGCUCCAACAAGACAAAGAGUUGGUGUUUCUAGAUCGACCACUGGCAUAGCCCGCAAAGUCUUGGCAAUGUUGAAUAAAGCAUCAACUGCCUUUCCUUCACGUUUAAAAGUUUCUUCAAGCUUUUCCAGACCCUGCAGAUAUUAAUAGACUGUUGUCACAGAUAUUACCAGAUGUGAGAAGCAAGCAGAUAACAACUUACCUCAUUCAACCGCUCCAAAGCCUCUCGUUUCGUUAGAGACUUAGCACAUACUGAAGCGUGUUCCUUUCCAACAGACAACACCUUUUUCCUCAAAGCAUCUACUUUUCUCAACACCUGUCAAACCUUAGCUGAAUCUCUUCAUAAUUUCCAUCACCAAGGGUUAACUCAAUAAGUGACUGUUCAUAAGGAUGCAAAUAUCUCCUUUUAGGGAAGUUCUCCAAAUAUUCCCUUAACGGAACUGCCAAUUCUUUCAUCAAUGCAUCAAGUUGCUUUGCACCUUUAUUUCUCUCUCGCUUGGCAAUAUUAGCAAUGCCUUUUGUAGGAGGGACCCUCUUUGCCUUCCUCAAUGCUGAAUAAAGAAUAUCAACUGAUGGCAUCACCAUUGGUAGCUUUUGAAAUGCACCAACUGUUUCAAGUAUUUCUGGUGCUUUAUCUGUGGUUUUCUUCUGCUGUUGUUGUUUAGUCGUGGGAGUGGGUACGUAGCUUGCAUUCACAAUAUCAUACGUAACUGUCUGAAUACGUCUACAAAAGCAUGAAGUUGGGCAUUUUGUUAUUCCUGCCUUCACGAAUAGACCUGGAGAAAAAUUUGAGCUUCUUAGCAGAAAUUUGGUGGAGCUAAUCUGCCGUAGCUGCAAGAUACUUAAUGCUCUAGUCAUCUCUUCUAUAUCUCUGUGUCUGU
This 2532-nucleotide unclassified non-coding RNA is filed under the name Hevea brasiliensis (rubber tree). The record is from RNAcentral. Lineage: Eukaryota; Viridiplantae; Streptophyta; Magnoliopsida; Malpighiales; Euphorbiaceae.